UGGGGAAUAUUGGACAAUGGGGGAAACCCUGAUCCAGCGACGCCGCGUGAGUGAAGAAGUAUUUCGGUAUGUAAAGCUCUAUCAGCAGGGAAGAAAAUGACGGUACCUGACUAAGAAGCCCCGGCUAACUACGUGCCAGCAGCCGCGGUAAUACGUAGGGGGCAAGCGUUAUCCGGAUUUACUGGGUGUAAAGGGAGCGUAGACGGCACUGCAAGUCUGGAGUGAAAGCCCGGGGCUCAACCCCGGGACUGCUUUGGAAACUGUGGUGCUGGAGUGCAGGAGAGGUAAGUGGAAUUCCUAGUGUAGCGGUGAAAUGCGUAGAUAUUAGGAGGAACACCAGUGGCGAAGGCGGCUUACUGGACUGUAACUGACGUUGAGGCUCGAAAGCGUGGGGAGCAAACAGG
RNAcentral lists this ribosomal RNA (404 nucleotides) under uncultured bacterium. Its description in RNAcentral is "partial 16S ribosomal RNA". It matches the Rfam family "Bacterial small subunit ribosomal RNA", at positions 355 to 776 of the family's 1533-position model. RNAcentral also lists the same sequence under 2 other names. The record is from RNAcentral.